UUAAGUUCAGCGGGUAUCCCUGCCUGAUCCGAGGUCAACCGGAAAGACGUCAGACGUCGGGGGGUCGGCAGACACAGGCCGGGCCUCCAGAGCGGGUGACAAAGCCCCAUACGCUCGAGGACCGGGCACGGCGCCGCCACUGCCUUUCGGGCCCGUCUCCGGAGGGAGACGAGACCCAACACACAAGCCGCGCUUGAGGG
RNAcentral lists this unclassified non-coding RNA (200 nucleotides) under Arachnomyces sp. RNAcentral describes it as "partial internal transcribed spacer 2". The record is from RNAcentral. Lineage: Eukaryota; Fungi; Ascomycota; Eurotiomycetes; Onygenales; Arachnomycetaceae.